CCCUUUACUCAAACCGUGUGGGUUCGACGGUGUCACGCAAUCUUGUUUGGACUCCUUCCUCAACACUUUAUCCACCUCAACCGAAGAGAAAAAAGCAACAGAUUGAGGCAAAUCGUGUACUCCGAGUUGGUACGCACAGAAAACUCUUGUCAAAAGAUUAGUAGUAUGCAGAGCCAGAGCAGCUUGGUACCUAUGUUCUUCUGGAACCAAAUAACGUACUUCAUCGUGAAAACUUAAACAAAACCUUAUGUUCUUUCCCAUUAUCCACUUCAUGCAUACCAACAUGAGGUGCAAAAAAUCGGCAGCACCGCUUUGGACGACCCAAUUCACACGUGUCGGUAAAUAUUGAUCUUCAGACUUGGUUUUCGGUUCUAGAGCUCUACUCAA
Diabrotica virgifera virgifera (western corn rootworm) is the source of this 387-nucleotide long non-coding RNA. RefSeq lists it as uncharacterized. NCBI's taxonomy places the organism in Eukaryota, Metazoa, Arthropoda, Insecta, Coleoptera, Chrysomelidae. The record is from RefSeq and is a predicted model, not a curated record. The transcript has 2 exons.